UACGUAGGGGGCAAGCGUUGUCCGGAUUUAUUGGGCGUAAAGAGCGUGUAGGCGGCCAUACAGGUCCGUUGUGAAAACUUGAGGCUCAACCUCGAGACGCCGAUGGAAACCGUAUGGCUAGAGUCCGGAAGAGGAGAGUGGAAUUCCUGGUGUAGCGGUGAAAUGCGCAGAUAUCAGGAAGAACACCCGUGGCUAAGGCGGCUCUCUAGUACGGUACUGACGCUGAGGUGCGAAAGCGUGGGGAGCAAACAGG
This 253-nucleotide ribosomal RNA is filed under the name uncultured bacterium. RNAcentral's name for it is "partial 16S ribosomal RNA". It matches the Rfam family "Bacterial small subunit ribosomal RNA", at positions 524 to 776 of the family's 1533-position model. The record is from RNAcentral.